Molecule: transfer RNA, 72 nt
Filed under: Pyropia dentata
Lineage: Eukaryota; Rhodophyta; Bangiophyceae; Bangiales; Bangiaceae
Description: Neoporphyra dentata tRNA-Ala
Rfam family: tRNA
About the family: Transfer RNA (tRNA) molecules are approximately 80 nucleotides in length.
Source: RNAcentral
GGGGGCGUAGUUUAAUAGGUAGAAUUAUGCUUUGCAAGUAUAAGGUUAUUGGUUCAAGUCCGAUUGUCUCCA